Molecule: long non-coding RNA, 658 nt
Filed under: Cairina moschata (Muscovy duck)
Lineage: Eukaryota; Metazoa; Chordata; Aves; Anseriformes; Anatidae
Description: domestica (muscovy Duck (domestic type)) lncRNA (ENSCMMG00000010222.1)
Source: RNAcentral
AUGAAACAACUAUAUUUACAUUUCCUCCGGGAGAGCCAACGCAGCACUGCACGGAGUUCUCCUAAAGCAACAGCAUGUACCAACCAGGAGCUCAGUUUCAAAGCAGCACCACUGGAGAGGAGGAAAAACACACGAUCGCCUAGGCAGGGUACUGGAAGCGCUGCCAUCAGCGCAAAGCCAACCUCGGGGUGGACUACAUUCAGCAGCAACACUGGUUAUAUAUGGAGAACAGAAAACAAGAAGACCCAAGCCCAAGAAAAAAAGCAGACAGAAGUCCUAACUCCUCUUCAUGCAAGAAGACAUCUUAAUGUAGGAGGGACUUUCUUCCUUCUUACUGCUUGGAGCUGAACCAAAGAGAUUAUUCCAAAUUAUAAUUUAAAUUUACAUUUCUCAAGAUAACACUGACCUCGUUGCCCUGAUGACUUCAUGUCUGCUGUCAUUAGGAUGAUAUUCAUUCCCAUGACAAAUGAAAUGGUUAAAGGUAAGUUAUAGAAACUAUAUUCAUUAUCACAAAGUACCUGUAAUUCUUGCUAAUAUGAAGCUAGGUAGUAAAUAUUUAACCUGUUAGUAUCCUCCAAGAAACAUGUUUAGGAAGUUUAUUUGAUUAAACACAAUCAUUCCUUAAAUAUUUUUAUGGUAGUCCUUUAGCAAAAUAAUU